GAUGAACGCUGGCGGCGUGCCUAAUACAUGCAAGUCGAACGCGCAGCGAAAGGUGCUUGCACCUUUCAAGCGAGUGGCGAACGGGUGAGUAACACGUGGAUAACCUGCCUCAAGGCUGGGGAUAACAUUUGGAAACAGAUGCUAAUACCGAAUAAAACUUAGUAUCGCAUGAUACAAAGUUAAAAGGCGCUACGGCGUCACCUAGAGAUGGAUCCGCGGUGCAUUAGUUAGUUGGUGGGGUAAAGGCUUACCAAGACGAUGAUGCAUAGCCGAUUUGAGAGACGGAUCGGCCACAUUGGGACUGAGACACGGCCCAAACUCCGACGGGAGGCUGCAGUAGGGAAUCUUCCACAAUGGGCGCAAGCCUGAUGGAGCAACGCCGCGUGUGUGAUGAAGGCUUUCGGGUCGUAAAGCACUGUUGUAUGGGAAGAAAUGCUAAAAUAGGGAAUGAUUUUAGUUUGACGGUACCAUACCAGAAAGGGACGGCUAAAUACGUGCCAGCCGCCGCGGUAA
Molecule: ribosomal RNA, 513 nt
Filed under: uncultured bacterium
Lineage: Bacteria
Description: partial 16S ribosomal RNA
Rfam family: Bacterial small subunit ribosomal RNA
Source: RNAcentral